CGGAAGCGUCGUUCGGACCGCCU
RNAcentral lists this non-coding RNA (23 nucleotides) under Arabidopsis thaliana (thale cress). The record is from RNAcentral. Lineage: Eukaryota; Viridiplantae; Streptophyta; Magnoliopsida; Brassicales; Brassicaceae.